GAUGAACGCUAGCUACAGGCUUAACACAUGCAAGUCGAGGGGCAGCAUGUUGGUUGCUUGCAACCGAUGAUGGCGACCGGCGCACGGGUGAGUAACGCGUAUCCAACCUUCCCCACAGUAGAGAAUAGCCCGGCGAAAGUCGGAUUAAUGCUCUAUGUUCUCCUUUGAUGGCAUCUGACGAGGAGCAAAGGUUCACCGCUAUGGGAUGGGGAUGCGUCUGAUUAGCUUGUCGGCGGGGUAACGGCCCACCGAGGCAACGAUCAGUAGGGGUUCUGAGAGGAAGGUCCCCCACACUGGUACUGAGACACGGACCAGACUCC
RNAcentral lists this ribosomal RNA (320 nucleotides) under uncultured Prevotella sp. RNAcentral's name for it is "bacterial SSU rRNA". It matches the Rfam family "Bacterial small subunit ribosomal RNA", at positions 28 to 339 of the family's 1533-position model. The record is from RNAcentral. Lineage: Bacteria; Pseudomonadati; Bacteroidota; Bacteroidia; Bacteroidales; Prevotellaceae.